CUGUUUUAGAUAAUUUCUUCAUUUCUCUGAUAAAAUUUCUUUACACAGUGCUAUAGGUCUGAGGGGGAAUUAAGAAGAACAUGACAGCUUUCUGCAUUUCCCAGUCACAGCACACCACAUUUCUGCUGAGCCAAUACAGAGCCAUUUGAGAACCAAAAACAUCUUUUAAAAGGCAUCCUAGAAACAUGUCUUCACAGCCUGAAAGCAAACCAUAUACGAGGACUGCUGUGCUUCAUUACAAAGCAAUGACAAGUACCACACAACUAUGACAAAGCUGCUGUUCCAGGAAUGAUUGUGCAGUUCCAGCGACUCUGAACUCCACAGUGGUUAUUUUUAUUCUCCUGUAUAAAAGUUCACCCUCUGUAAAUAGCUUGUAUUGGAUCAUGACAGAAAAAAAAUAAAUGUUUUUACCUCAGAA
Molecule: long non-coding RNA, 418 nt
Organism: Pogoniulus pusillus (Red-fronted tinkerbird)
Lineage: Eukaryota; Metazoa; Chordata; Aves; Piciformes; Lybiidae
Exons: 2
Source: RefSeq, a predicted model, not a curated record